GGCGUGGCUUAGCUGGAUAGAGCAUCGGACUCCGACUCCGAAGACCGCGGGUUCGAAUCCCGCCGUCUA
Molecule: transfer RNA, 69 nt
Filed under: bovine gut metagenome
Rfam family: tRNA
About the family: Transfer RNA (tRNA) molecules are approximately 80 nucleotides in length.
Source: RNAcentral